GAGUUUGAUCCUGGCUCAGAUUGAACGCUGGCGGCAUGCCUAACACAUGCAAGUCGAACGGUAACAGAACUAGCUUGCUAGUUGCUGACGAGUGGCGGACGGGUGAGUAAUGUAUAGGAACUUGCCUAAUAGUGGGGGACAACGUGUGGAAACGCACGCUAAUACCGCAUACGCUCUACGGAGGAAAGCGGGGGAUCUUCGGACCUCGUGCUAUUAGAUAGGCCUAUAUUGGAUUAGCUAGUUGGUAAGGUAAGAGCUUACCAAGGCGACGAUCCAUAGCUGGUUUGAGAGAAUGAUCAGCCACACUGGGACUGAGACACGGCCCAGACUCCUACGGGAGGCAGCAGUGGGGAAUAUUGCACAAUGGAGGAAACUCUGAUGCAGCAAUGCCGCGUGUGUGAAGAAGGCCUUCGGGUUGUAAAGCACUUUCAGACGCGAGGAAAAGCUAACUAUUAAUACUAGUUAGCCUUGACGUUAACGUCAGAAGAAGCACCGGCUAACUCCGUGCCAGCAGCCGCGGUAAUACGGAGGGUGCAAGCGUUAAUCGGAAUUACUGGGCGUAAAGCGCGCGUAGGCGGAUAAAUAAGUCAGAUGUGAAAUCCCUGGGCUCAACCUAGGAACUGCAUUUGAUACUGUUUAUCUAGAGUAUGGUAGAGGUGAGUGGAAUUUCAGUGUAGCGGUGAAAUGCGUAGAGAUCUGAAGGAACAUCAGUGGCGAAGGCGACUCACUGGGCCAUCACUGACGCUGAGGUGCGAAAGCGUGGGUAGCAAACAGGAUUAGAUACCCUGGUAGUCCACGCCCUAAACGAUGUCAACUAGGUGUGUGAAGAUUUACUCUUUGCGUAUCGAAGCUAACGCGAUAAGUUGACCGCCUGGGGAGUACGGCCGCAAGGCUAAAACUCAAAUGAAUUUGACGGGGGCCCGCACAAGCGGUGGAGCAUGUGGUUUAAUUUCGAUGCAACGCGAAGAACCUUAAC
This 976-nucleotide ribosomal RNA is filed under the name uncultured bacterium. RNAcentral describes it as "bacterial SSU rRNA". It matches the Rfam family "Bacterial small subunit ribosomal RNA", at positions 9 to 975 of the family's 1533-position model. The record is from RNAcentral.